RNAcentral lists this ribosomal RNA (253 nucleotides) under uncultured bacterium. Its description in RNAcentral is "partial 16S ribosomal RNA". It matches the Rfam family "Bacterial small subunit ribosomal RNA", at positions 524 to 776 of the family's 1533-position model. The record is from RNAcentral.
UACGAAGGGUGCAAGCGUUACUCGGAAUUACUGGGCGUAAAGCGUGCGUAGGUGGUGAGUUAAGUCUGUCGUGAAAGCCCCGGGCUCAACCUGGGAAUGGCGAUGGAAACUGGCGAGCUAGAGUACGGUAGAGGAGAGUGGAAUUCCCGGUGUAGCAGUGAAAUGCGUAGAGAUCGGGAGGAACAUCAGUUGCGAAGGCGGCUCUCUGGACCAGUACUGACGCUGAGGCACGAAAGCGUGGGGAGCAAACAGG